AAAAUGACUCUCGACAACGGAUAUCUCGGCUCUCGCAUCGAUGAAGAACGUAGCGAAAUGCGAUACUUGGUGUGAAUUGCAGAAUCCCGUGAACCAUCGAGUCUUUGAACGCAAGUUGCGCCCAAAGCCAUCAGGCCGAGGGCACGUCUGCCUGGGUGUCAAGC
This 164-nucleotide ribosomal RNA is filed under the name Moringa ovalifolia. Its description in RNAcentral is "5.8S ribosomal RNA". It matches the Rfam family "5.8S ribosomal RNA". From Rfam's summary of the family: 5.8S ribosomal RNA (5.8S rRNA) is a component of the large subunit of the eukaryotic ribosome. It is transcribed by RNA polymerase I as part of the 45S precursor that also contains 18S and 28S rRNA. Functionally, it is thought that 5.8S rRNA may be involved in ribosome translocation. Lineage: Eukaryota; Viridiplantae; Streptophyta; Magnoliopsida; Brassicales; Moringaceae. The record is from RNAcentral.